Molecule: ribosomal RNA, 425 nt
Filed under: uncultured bacterium
Lineage: Bacteria
Description: partial 16S ribosomal RNA
Rfam family: Bacterial small subunit ribosomal RNA
Source: RNAcentral
GUGGGGAAUAUUGGGCAAUGGGCGAAAGCCUGACCCAGCAACGCCGCGUGAAGGAAGAAGGUUUUCGGAUCGUAAACUUCUAUCCUUGGUGAAGAUAAUGACGGUAGCCAAGAAGGAAGCCCCGGCUAACUACGUGCCAGCAGCCGCGGUAAUACGUAGGGGGCAAGCGUUGUCCGGAAUGAUUGGGCGUAAAGGGCGCGUAGGCGGCCCGGUAAGUCUGAAGUGAAAGUCCUGCUUUUAAGGUGGGAAUUGCUUUGGAUACUGUCGGGCUUGAGUGCAGGAGAGGUAAGCGGAAUUCCCGGUGUAGCGGUGAAAUGCGUAGAGAUCGGGAGGAACACCAGUGGCGAAGGCGACUACCUGGACUGAUACUGACACUGAGGUGCGAAAGCGUGGGGAGCAAACAGGAUUAGAUACCCCGGUAGUCC